AUAUCUUCCGCAGAGUGACGUAACCAUCUUCCAUAUUGGUAUUUUUCUCUGGGAAAAGUUUGUGAUAUUUCAAUUUUUCAAGAGAGAACUUGUUUUCAUCGUUGUGAUAAUUAGUUGUGCAAUGGAUUUUAUCGAACGGGAGUUCAUUACAAACACACAGUUUCAAUAUUAGAUGCCAUAGCAAAUCAAAGAUCAUAUAAUAGAAUAAGUCAAAAAACCCAAAUAUGGAAAAAGAAAGAGCUGAAGAAAUGGUGAUUUGAGCACCUAUGCUUUCUCAUAGGUGUUUUUGGAGGUUUCCAUAUUAGAUGCCAUAGCAAAUCAAAGAUCAUAUAAUAAAAUAAGUCAAAAAACCCAAAUAUGGGAAAAGAAAGAGCUGAAGAAAUAGUGAUUUGAGCACCUAUGAUUUCUCAUAGGUGUUUUUUGAGGUUAACUACAUCAGAAAGAUCAAGACAGUUGGAAAUGGCUAUUCAUAUUAUGGAAACUUUUUCUCACCAGAGCUUGAUAAUCAGGUAAAAUGCUGGAAGAUUAUUUGAUGUAUGAUAACAACAAGAGAUCCCAAGCACCAAUAUAUUUUAUAAUUCUGGAAAAAAAUGCAUUUGACCCAAUUUUUGAAUAUUUAUUUUUUGUUUUUACUGUUAAAUAUUCUUCCCAAACACAAUUAGAUUUUAAUUCUCUACAGAAAUUUAUGUAUAAUAUAGAAUGUAAAGUGACAUAUUAAUCACUUAGAAUUUGGUCGGAAAUUAUAAAGUAUUUAAUAGGCAUAAUCUAGAAACCAAAUGUAGAUCAAAUAUACCCAGAAUUACAAAAAACCUUGACCUACAUUAAGGUGACUUUCCCUUGCUUAUGAAAUGAAAUAGGGUUUAAAAUCCUACUUUUCUGUGUUAUUAUGGUGAUUCUGCCCUACAACCUACUCUUAUAUCAAAUAUUUCAACUGUCAAGGGUUGUUUAAAGGGAACCCAGGAGGGCCGAAUGGUUAACACACGCACAUUGGAUCAGAAGGUCUGUCAUUGAGUCAGAUAAUUCAAUUGUCAAGGGUUCUUUAAAGUAAACGCAGUGGGGGUAGUUUCAAUUCCGGGCUUAUACCCAAUUAUCCCUUGCCAUGUCCUACACUACUAACGUGUGGGAACUAUGUCGGAAAAUCCAGUUGAAAUUUCUUGGCCAAUGCCUUAUACUCACUGAACCACAGUGACUCCUCCUUGCUUUUGACUUGUGAUUUUAUAUAUAUAUUUUGUACAUAUUAUUUAAUGUUUGCGAUUUUCUCUGAUAUUUUUUUAUUUUUCAAUCCUGUAAUCUUGAUGCUUUGCUCCUUUUAUGUACAAAAUAUUCAUUUUGUUUGUUGUUUUUUUUUAAUGAGGAAAAGGUUCUACAUCAUUUUAUUACUCCUGCAAAAUAGUGCAUUUUUCUUUUGUUAGUUUUCUGUGUAUGCUAGUUAUUUCCAGAUGCCUCACAAAUCACUUGUAAUAUGACUUUGUAGCACUUUUCAGUUUCUUAAAGUAUUUCAAUUUAGUGCAUAAUUAAUCUAAUUAGGUCUUGGUUUGGAUGUUAUUAAAUUUAGAUAUAUUUGAAUUAUAUAUUUUUGGGGUAUGGGGUAGGGAUCUUUCUUUUCUCAGUUCUUGUUUUCGGGUAAAGAAAAAAUUAAAUAGCUAUUUUGUAUUU
This is a long non-coding RNA of Patella vulgata (common limpet), 1656 nucleotides long. RefSeq lists it as uncharacterized. The transcript has 5 exons. The record is from RefSeq and is a predicted model, not a curated record. NCBI's taxonomy places the organism in Eukaryota, Metazoa, Mollusca, Gastropoda, Patellidae.